RNAcentral lists this long non-coding RNA (437 nucleotides) under Mus musculus (house mouse). RNAcentral's name for it is "predicted gene 28091". Lineage: Eukaryota; Metazoa; Chordata; Mammalia; Rodentia; Muridae. The record is from RNAcentral.
GGCCUUGCUCUUAUGUCAUCUGACUAAAGGUUUCAUAGACCAAAGAUAACCAUCCAACUUGUUGGAAUACUGAAACAAUUGCUGCCUGCUGUCCACACACCACAUAAAAUAUGUGGAUUUCGUAAAUUCUGCAAAAAAGGUUUGGAAGCUGAUCAAUCAAUACUGGAACUCCCUCUUCUCCAGAAGAGACAUCCUGGCCUCCAUGCAGAGGAAUGUGUGGAUGGACAUAUAUUUAAGGAAGACACUAAACCAGAAACUACUACAUUACACCCUCUUAGAAGACUUCUAAGAUUGUUGUCAUGCCUACCACAGACAUUCAGAUGAUGUGUAUUGUUGAUUGUGAUUUCAUGUUUGGACCUGAUGAAGGAGUUUGAAGUCUCCAGAGCAGCAAAGAGAGUGGGGAGUAGAACUCAUCAUCUUUAGGUCACUCAUCAUCG